AGUAGGGAGUACGCGGAGUUGAACCAUGGACCUCUCGAUCUGUAGUCGAAUGAUCUACCGAAUGCUCCAAUGGCCCCCGAUCCUUAC
RNAcentral lists this transfer RNA (87 nucleotides) under Cordylochernes scorpioides. RNAcentral's name for it is "tRNA-Cys". The record is from RNAcentral. Lineage: Eukaryota; Metazoa; Arthropoda; Arachnida; Pseudoscorpiones; Chernetidae.